Molecule: long non-coding RNA, 380 nt
Filed under: Lathyrus oleraceus (garden pea)
Lineage: Eukaryota; Viridiplantae; Streptophyta; Magnoliopsida; Fabales; Fabaceae
Description: Pisum sativum (pea) long non-coding RNA (PSAT_LNC024277)
Source: RNAcentral
UGUUUUGCUUGAUAAAAUGGUGGUUGAUGAGUAUUUUUCUCUUUUAAAUAUUAAAAUACAACAUACUGUUUUCUGUUUUCAAAGACUUAAAUUGGAAACAACGAAACAGAUGCUUUCAAUGUUUCCUGUACAAAUGUAUGAAAACAGAAAUCAAGGUAUAACGGUAUUUGUUAUUACAAUUGAAUACAAGAAAUGAACACACUGGUUUUGAAACCAAAUAGGCAGUUAGUUUUACUUUCCAGGAUUUUUGUCAGCACACUCUCACUUCUGUUGCCCCUUUCUUUUGGCUUUGAUUUUUUUCCCUUUCCAAUAAUAACAAUUAACAAUAUUAUUCAUCUAGUAAAUGUUUUUUGUUGGAUUAUAACAAGUUUUCUUCUUUA